Molecule: non-coding RNA, 541 nt
Organism: Lonchura striata (white-rumped munia)
Lineage: Eukaryota; Metazoa; Chordata; Aves; Passeriformes; Estrildidae
Source: RefSeq, a predicted model, not a curated record
UUUUUUCCCUUUAAAUUUAAUGUGUAUUGAAAGGGGAGUGAUCCUACUGAGGCAAAACUGCAAACUUUGUAAAAUUGUAUUCUGUCUGUUUUCCUGGGCUUAGUCUAAGCUGGAGAGCAGUGGGCAAAAAGAAAAUAAUGGUGCAUGAUCGUUGAACAGUGAGAGACUUGUAGAUGCGCUAAGCCGAUUCCAGAGGACCACGAACCGUGUCCAGGGCAGUACAGGGAGGCGACAGCCUCGCCACUGGGAAGAGGCAAACAUGCAGCUGUGAAAAAAUCAAAAAUGAUGGCAGCUGCUCAGAAGCAGCCUAUGAAGUCCUAGAACUGGAAUAUGUAAAGACAAUGGAUCCUGGCAGUACUCAAUGAAAUCUUCUGACUGACAAACCGCAUACCAUUAUCGCACCCGAGUCACCUGGAAAUUCGCGUUUUGGCUAUGAAGACCAUCCCCUCAUCUUAACCUGCAGCUAACAUUUGAGUUGAACAUAGCAGAUGAUGAUUUAGCAGCUGCGCCUUUAUCCAUCCUCAGAAUGAAUCUGUACACC